GCUAUUGGAGUUCGAUUAAGCCAUGCGAGUCGAGAGUCUUAGGGACUCGGCGUACCGCUCAGUAACACGUGGGUAACCUGCCCUAUGCUGGGGAAUAACCUCGGGAAACUGAGAAUAAUGCCCCAUAGUCCACAAUGCCUGGAACGGUUUGUGGAUCAAAGCUCCGGCGGCAUAGGAUGGGCCUGCGGCGUAUCAGGUUGUAGGGGGUGUAACGUACCCUCUAGCCAUCAACGCGUACGGGUGUUGGGAGACAUAGCCCGGAGAUGGAUUCUGAGACACGAAUCCAGACCCUACGGGGUGCAGCAGGCGCGAAAACUUGGCAAUGCGAGAAAUCGUGACCAGGGAACUCCAAGUGGCUGGGGUAAGACCCAGUCUUUUCUUGACUCUUCAAAGGUCUUGGAAUAAGGGGUGGGUAAGGACGGUGCCAGCCGCCGCGGUAAUACCGGCGCCUCAAGUGGUAGUCGAUUUUAUUGGGCCUAAAACGUCCGUAGCCUGUUUGGUACAUUCGUGGGUAAAUCAACCAGCUCAACUGGUUGAAUUCUGCGAGCACGGCCAGACUUGGGACCGGGAGAGGUGUGGGGUACGCUCAGGGUAGGGGUAAAAUCCUGUCAUCCUGAGCGGACCACCUGUUGCGAAGGCGCCACACUAGAACGGGUCCGACGGUCAGGGACGAAGCCUAGGGGCACGAACCGGAUUAGAUACCCGGGUAGUCCUAGGUGUAAACGCUGUGGACUUGGUGUUGGGGACUCUCCGAGAAUCCUCAGUGCCGAAGCGAAGGUGAUAAGUCCACUGCCUGGGGAGUACGGUCGCAAGGCUGAAACUUAAAGGAAUUGGCGGGGGAGCACCGC
This 848-nucleotide ribosomal RNA is filed under the name uncultured archaeon. RNAcentral describes it as "bacterial SSU rRNA". It matches the Rfam family "Archaeal small subunit ribosomal RNA", at positions 29 to 882 of the family's 1478-position model. The record is from RNAcentral.